Molecule: ribosomal RNA, 484 nt
Filed under: uncultured Verrucomicrobium sp.
Lineage: Bacteria; Pseudomonadati; Verrucomicrobiota; Verrucomicrobiia; Verrucomicrobiales; Verrucomicrobiaceae
Description: bacterial SSU rRNA
Rfam family: Bacterial small subunit ribosomal RNA
Source: RNAcentral
AACGAACGCUGGCGGCGUGGAUAAGACAUGCAAGUCGAACGAGAAACUUUUUAAGCUUGCUUUGAAAGUUUCUAGUGGCGGACGGGUGAGUAACACGUGAGCAACCUGCCCUAAAGUGGGGGAUAGCCUUCCGAAAGGGAGAUUAAUACCGCAUAUGAUCGCAAGAUUAAAGGUGGCUUCGGCUGCCGCUUUGGGAUGGGCUCGCGGCCUAUCAGCUAGUUGGUGAGGUAACUGCUCACCAAGGCGAUGACGGGUAGCUGGUCUGAGAGGACGAUCAGUCACACUGGAACUGAGACACGGUCCAGACACCUACGGGUGGCAGCAGUCGAGAAUCAUUCACAAUGGGCGAAAGCCUGAUGGUGCGACGCCGCGUGGAGGAUGAAGGCCCUAGGGUCGUAAACUCCUGUCAUCAGGGAGUAAGGGCUUUACGAGUAACUGCGUAGGGCAUUGAUAGUACCUGAAGAGGAAGGGACGGCUAACUUCG